Molecule: ribosomal RNA, 460 nt
Filed under: uncultured bacterium
Lineage: Bacteria
Description: partial 16S ribosomal RNA
Rfam family: Bacterial small subunit ribosomal RNA
Source: RNAcentral
CCUACGGGUGGCAGCAGUGAGGAAUAUUGGUCAAUGGACGAGAGUCUGAACCAGCCAAGUAGCGUGAAGGAAGACUGCCCUAUGGGUUGUAAACUUCUUUUAUAAAAGAAUAAAACGAGGCACGUGUGCCGUUUUGCAUGUACUUGAUGAAUAAGGAUCGGCUAACUCCGUGCCAGCAGCCGCGGUAAUACGGAGGAUCCGAGCGUUAUCCGGAUUUAUUGGGUUUAAAGGGUGCGUAGAUGGGUUGUUAAGUCAGCUGUGAAAUUUUGCGGCUCAACCGUAACAUGGCAAUUGAUACUGGCAGACUUGAGUACACUUGAGGUAGGCGGAAUGCGCGGUGUAGCGGUGAAAUGCUUAGAUAUCGCGAAGAACCCCGAUUGCGAAGGCAGCUUACUAAACUGUGACUGACACUGAUGCUCGAAAGUGUGGGGAUCAAACAGGAUUAGAUACCCUUGUAGUC